This 117-nucleotide ribosomal RNA is filed under the name Deltaproteobacteria bacterium. Lineage: Bacteria; Pseudomonadati; Myxococcota; Myxococcia. The record is from RNAcentral.
CUUGGUGGUUUAAGCGAGAUGGAAACACCCGUUCCCAUUCCGAACACGGAAGUUAAGCAUCUCAGCGUCGAUGAUAAUAUCCGGUUCGCCGGAUGUGAAAGUAGACCACUGCCAAGA